UCUGACAUUUUAGGGCCUUGGAGCCUGGAA
RNAcentral lists this small RNA (30 nucleotides) under Bombyx mori (domestic silkworm). RNAcentral's name for it is "ovarian small RNA-7779". The record is from RNAcentral. Lineage: Eukaryota; Metazoa; Arthropoda; Insecta; Lepidoptera; Bombycidae.